AGAGUUUGAUCAUGGCUCAGGAUGAACGCUAGCGGCAGGCUUAACACAUGCAAGUCGAGGGGCAGCGCGGAGUAGCAAUACUCUGGCGGCGACCGGCGCAAGGGUGCGUAACGCGUGAGCAACUUGCCCGUAACAGGAGGAUAACCGGAGGAAACUCCGACUAAUACUGCGUAGUAAUUUUUGGUGGCAUCGCCGAGAGUUUAAAGACGAAAGUCGGUUACGGAUAGGCUCGCGUGACAUUAGCUAGAUGGCGGGGUAACGGCCCACCAUGGCGACGAUGUCUAGGGGUUCUGAGAGGAAGGUCCCCCACACUGGUACUGAGACACGGACCAGACUCCUACGGGAGGCAGCAGUGAGGAAUAUUGGACAAUGGUCGGAAGACUGAUCCAGCCAUGCCGCGUGAAGGCUAAGGUCCUAUGGAUUGUAAACUUCUUUUGUACGAGAGGAAUAAGGAUGACGUGUCAUCCGAGGACAGUAUCGUACGAAUAAGCAUCGGCUAACUCCGUGCCAGCAGCCGCGGUAAUACGGAGGAUGCGAGCGUUAUCCGGAUUCAUUGGGUUUAAAGGGUGCGCAGGCGGACGAUUAAGUCAGCGGUGAAAAGUAUGCGCUUAACGCAUAUCGUGCCGUUGAAACUGGUUGACUAGGAUACGUAUGCUGUGGGAGGAAUGUGUAGUGUAGCGGUGAAAUGCAUAGAUAUUACACAGAACACCGAUUGCGAAGGCAUCUCACAAAUACGUCAUUGACGCUGAGGCACGAAAGUGCGGGGAUCAAACAGGAUUAGAUACCCUGGUAGUCCGCACAGUAAACGAUGAUAACUCGCUGUUGGUUCGUUAAGAAUCAGUGGCCAAGCGAAAGCGAUAAGUUAUCCACCUGGGGAGUACGACCGCAAGGUUGAAACUCAAAGGAAUUGACGGGGGCCCGCACAAGCGGAGGAACAUGUGGUUUAAUUCGAUGAUACGCGAGGAACCUUACCCGGGCUCGAACGGCAAGUGAACGAUGCAGAGAUGCAAAGGUCCUUCGGGACACUUGUCGAGGUGCUGCAUGGUUGUCGUCAGCUCGUGCCGUGAGGUGUCGGCUUAAGUGCCAUAACGAGCGCAACCCUUGUUGUCAGUUACCAGCGCGUAAAGGCGGGGACUCUGGCGAGACUGCCACCGUAAGGUGAGAGGAGGGGGGGGAUGACGUCAAAUCAGCACGGCCCUUACGUCCGGGGCGACACACGUGUUACAAUGGCCGGUACAGAGGGGAGCUACCUGGCGACAGGGUGCAAAUCUCGAAAGCCGGUCUCAGUUCGGAUCGGAGUCUGCAACUCGACUCCGUGAAGUUGGAUUCGCUAGUAAUCGCGCAUCAGCCAUGGCGCGGUGAAUACGUUCCCGGGCCUUGUACACACCGCCCGUCAAGCCAUGAAAGCCGGGGGUGCCUGAAGUUCGUGACCGCGAGGAGCGACCUAGGGCAAAACUGGUAAUUGGGGCUAAGUCGUAACAAGGUAGCCGUACCGGAAGGUGUGGCUGGAACACCUCCUU
RNAcentral lists this ribosomal RNA (1520 nucleotides) under uncultured bacterium. RNAcentral's name for it is "bacterial SSU rRNA". It matches the Rfam family "Bacterial small subunit ribosomal RNA". The record is from RNAcentral.